UGAGUACGAGAUGCUACGGCAUCGAAGCAGUCUAUGUCAUACUUCCAAGAAAAGCUUGCACUGUCAUAAACAAGGAAUGCCUGUACCAUAACCGACACAGGUGGGUAGGUAGAGUAUACUAAGGGGCGCGAGAUAACUCUCUCUAAGGAACUCGGCAAAAUGACUCCGUAACUUCGGGAGAAGGAGUGCCUUAUUUCUAAGGUUGCAAUAACAAGAUCCAAGCAACUGUUUACCAAAAACACAGGUCUCCGCUAAGUCGUAAGACGAUGUAUGGGGGCUGACGCCUGCCCAGUGCCAGAAGGUUAAAGAAGUUGGUUAGCAUUAGCGAAGCUGAUAACUGAAGCCCUGGUGAACGGCGGCCGUAACCAUAACGGUCCUAAGGUAGCGAAAUUCCUUGUCGGGUAAGUUCCGACCCGCACGAAAGGCGUAAUGAUUUGGAUACUGUCUCGGAGAGGGGCUCGGUGAAAUAGACUUGUCUGUGAAGAUGCGGACUACCUGCACCUGGACAGAAAGACCCUAUGAAGCUUUACUGUAACUUGAGAUUGAAAUUGGACUUUAUUUGCGCAGUAUAGGUGGGAGGCGUUGAGAAUAAUCUUGCGGGAUUGUUGGAGCCAUCAGUGAGAUACCACUCUUGUAAUGUUAGAUUUCUAACUUUGUAUCAUUAUCUGGUCAAAGAACAGUUUCAGGCGGGCAGUUUGACUGGGGCGGUCGCCUCCCAAAGGGUAACGGAGGCGCACAAAGGUUUCCUCUGAACGGGUAGAAAUCGUAUCUAGAGUGUAAAGGCAUAAGGAAGCUUGACUGUGAGACCUACAAGUCGAGCAGGGACGAAAGUCGGUCUUAGUGAUCUGACGGUGCUGAGUGGAAAGGCCGUCACUCAACGGAUAAAAGUUACUCUAGGAUAACAGGCUGAUCUCCCCCAAGAGUUCACAUCGACGGGGAGGUUUGGCACCUCGAUGUCGGCUCAUCGCAUCCUGGGGCGGUAGUCCGUCCCAAGGGUUGGGCUGUUCGCCCAUGAAAGCGGUACGCGAGCUGGGUUCAGAACGUCGUGAGACAGUUCGGUCCAUAUCCGGUGUAGGCGUUAGAAUAUUGAGAGGAGCCUUCUCUAGUACGAGAGGACCGAGAAGGACAUACCUCUGGUGUACCAGUUAUCGUGCCAACGGUAAACGCUGGGUAGCUAUGUAUGGAGUGGAUAACCGCUGAAAGCAUCUAAGUGGGAAGCCCACCUCAAGAUAAGUAUUCUCAUC
Molecule: ribosomal RNA, 1244 nt
Filed under: metagenome
Description: bacterial LSU rRNA
Rfam family: Bacterial large subunit ribosomal RNA
Source: RNAcentral